RNAcentral lists this small RNA (125 nucleotides) under Marmota monax (woodchuck). Lineage: Eukaryota; Metazoa; Chordata; Mammalia; Rodentia; Sciuridae. The record is from RNAcentral.
GCUGGGUGCAGUGGCGCAUGCCUGUAAUCCCAGUGGCUUGGGAGGCCAAGGCAGGAGGAUCAAGAGUUCAAAGCCUGCCUCAGCAAAAGCAAGGCACUAAGCAACUCAGUGAGACCCUGUCUCUA